Molecule: ribosomal RNA, 433 nt
Filed under: uncultured bacterium
Lineage: Bacteria
Description: partial 16S ribosomal RNA
Rfam family: Bacterial small subunit ribosomal RNA
Source: RNAcentral
AACGAACGCUGGCGGCAGGCCUAACACAUGCAAGUCGAGCGAGGACUUCGGUUCUAGCGGCGGACGGGUGAGUAACGCGUGGGAAUGUGCCCUUCUCUACGGAAUAGCCCUGGGGAACUGGGAGUAAUACCGUAUACGCCCUAUUGGGGAAAGAUUUAUCGGAGAAGGAUCAGCCCGCGUUGGAUUAGGUAGUUGGUGGGGUAAUGGCCUACCAAGCCGACGAUCCAUAGCUGGUUUGAGAGGAUGAUCAGCCACACUGGGACUGAGACACGGCCCAGACUCCUACGGGAGGCAGCAGUGGGGAAUCUUAGACAAUGGGGGCAACCCUGAUCUAGCCAUGCCGCGUGAGUGAUGAAGGCCUUAGGGUUGUAAAGCUCUUUCAGCUGGGAAGAUAAUGACGGUACCAGCAGAAGAAGCCCCGGCUAACUCCGUG